Molecule: ribosomal RNA, 475 nt
Filed under: uncultured bacterium
Lineage: Bacteria
Description: bacterial SSU rRNA
Rfam family: Bacterial small subunit ribosomal RNA
Source: RNAcentral
ACAUGCAAGUCAGGGGCAGCAGGAUCUGUGCUGCACAGGUUGCUGGCGACCGGCGCACGGGUGAGUAACGCGUAUCCAACCUCCCCCACAGUAGAGGAUAGCCCGGCGAAAGUCGGAUUAAUACUCUAUGUUGUAUUUCGAGGACAUCUGACGAAUACCAAAGAGUUUAUCGCUAUGGGAUGGGGAUGCGUCUGAUUAGGUAGUCGGCGGGGUAACGGCCCACCGAGCCAUCGAUCAGUACGGGUUCUGAGAGGAAGGUCCCCCACACUGGAACUGAGACACGGUCCAGACUCCUACGGGAGGCAGCAGUGAGGAAUAUUGGUCAAUGGGCGAUGGCCUGAACCAGCCAAGUAGCGUGAGGGACGACGGCCCUACGGGUUGUAAACCUCUUUUGUAUGGGAAUAAAGUGAGGCACGUGUGCCUUUUUGUAUGUACCUUACGAAUAAGCAUCGGCUAAUUCCGUGCCAGCAGCGGC